RNAcentral lists this ribosomal RNA (506 nucleotides) under uncultured Chlorobiales bacterium. Its description in RNAcentral is "bacterial SSU rRNA". It matches the Rfam family "Bacterial small subunit ribosomal RNA", at positions 903 to 1382 of the family's 1533-position model. Lineage: Bacteria; Pseudomonadati; Chlorobiota; Chlorobiia; Chlorobiales. The record is from RNAcentral.
UGCGCCUUGCCAGCCCGCUCAGAAACUUAAAGGAAUUGACGGGGCCGCACAAGCAGUGGAGCAUGUGGUUUAAUUCGAUGCAACGCGAAGAACCUUACCUAGGCUUGAAAUGCAGUGGACCGGGUAUGAAAGUACCCUUCCCUUCGGGGCCGCUGUACAGGUGCUGCAUGGCUGUCGUCAGCUCGUGCCGUGAGGUGUUGGGUUAAGUCUCGCAACGAGCGCAACCCCUACUAUUAGUUGCCAUCAGGUUAUGCUGGGCACUCUAAUGGGACUGCCUACGCAAGUAGUGAGGAAGGUGGGGAUGACGUCAAGUCAGCAUGGCCCUUACGCCUAGGGCUACACACGUGCUACAAUGGGUACUACAACGGGUUGCUAAGCCGCAAGGUGGAGACCAAUCCCUUAAAGGUAUCCUCAGUUCGGAUUGGAGUCUGCAACUCGACUCCAUGAAGUUGGAAUUGCUAGUAAUCGCGUAUCAGCGCGACGCGGUGAAUACGUUCCCGGGCCUU